GGGGAAUAUUGGACAAUGGGCGCAAGCCUGAUCCAGCCAUGCCGCGUGGGUGAAGAAGGCCUUCGGGUUGUAAAGCCCUUUUGUUGGGAAAGAAAAGCAGCCGGCCAAUACCCGGUUGUUCUGACGGUACCCAAAGAAUAAGCACCGGCUAACUUCGUGCCAGCAGCCGCGGUAAUACGUAGGGGGCGAGCGUUGUCCGGAAUUAUUGGGCGUAAAGGGUGCGUAGGCGGCUGAACAAGUCAGAUGUGAAAGGUUAAGGCUUAACUUUAAUAAGCAUAUGAAACUGUUCAGCUUGAGUUAAGGAGAGGGGAGUGGAAUUCCUAGUGUAGCGGUGAAAUGCGUAGAUAUUAGGAGGAAUACCAGUGGCGAAGGCGACUCUCUGGACUUAAACUGACGCUGAGGCACGAAAGCGUGGGGAGCAAACA
RNAcentral lists this ribosomal RNA (425 nucleotides) under uncultured bacterium. RNAcentral's name for it is "bacterial SSU rRNA". It matches the Rfam family "Bacterial small subunit ribosomal RNA", at positions 356 to 774 of the family's 1533-position model. The record is from RNAcentral.